This 253-nucleotide ribosomal RNA is filed under the name uncultured bacterium. RNAcentral describes it as "partial 16S ribosomal RNA". It matches the Rfam family "Bacterial small subunit ribosomal RNA", at positions 524 to 776 of the family's 1533-position model. The record is from RNAcentral.
UACGAAGGGGGCUAGCGUUGUUCGGAAUUACUGGGCGUAAAGGGCGCGUAGGCGGCGUGUCAAGUCAGGCGUGAAAGCCCCGGGCUCAACCUGGGAACCGCGCUUGAGACUGGCAUGCUCGAGUUCGGGAGAGGAUGGUGGAAUUCCCAGUGUAGAGGUGAAAUUCGUAGAUAUUGGGAAGAACACCGGUGGCGAAGGCGGCCAUCUGGACCGGCACUGACGCUGAGGCGCGAAAGCGUGGGGAGCAAACAGG